GAGUUUGAUCAUGGCUCAGAUUGAACGCUGGCGGCAGGCCUAACACAUGCAAGUCGAGCGGUAGAGAGAAGCUUGCUUCUCUUGAGAGCGGCGGACGGGUGAGUAAUGCCUAGGAAUCUGCCUGGUAGUGGGGGAUAACGCUCGGAAACGGACGCUAAUACCGCAUACGUCCUACGGGAGAAAGCAGGGGACCUUCGGGCCUUGCGCUAUCAGAUGAGCCUAGGUCGGAUUAGCUAGUUGGUGAGGUAAUGGCUCACCAAAGGCGACGAUCCGUAACUGGUCUGAGAGGAUGAUCAGUCACACUGGAACUGAGACACGGUCCAGACUCCUACGGGAGGCAGCAGUGGGGAAUAUUGGACAAUGGGCGAAAGCCUGAUCCAGCCAUGCCGCGUGU
Molecule: ribosomal RNA, 394 nt
Filed under: uncultured bacterium
Lineage: Bacteria
Description: bacterial SSU rRNA
Rfam family: Bacterial small subunit ribosomal RNA
Source: RNAcentral